UAAGCAUACUGGAAGGUGUGCUUGGAAUCGAAAUAUAGUUUAAUCAAAACACCUUGCUUACACCAAGAAAUUAUCUGUGAAAAUCAAAUCAUUUCGAGCCUAACAUCUAGCCUAACUCACACAAAUGUAAUAACCUCAUUUUACCUCCCCCAACUAAACCAUUCACCAAUUUUAGUAGAGGCGAUCAAAAAAAUUUUAGAGCUACAAACGCAGUACCGCAAGGGAACGAUGAAAUAGAAAUGAAAUAAACCAAAGCCAAACAUAAUAGAGACUUAACCUCGUACCUUUUGCAUCAUGGUCUAGCUAGUUUAAUCAAGCAAAAAGAAUUAAAGUUUGACCCCCCGAAACCAAGUGAGCUACUCCAAGGCAGCCUUAUGAGCACACCCAUCUCUGUAGCAAAAGAGUGGGAUGACCUUCGAGUAGAGGUGACAGACCUAACGAGCUUGGCGAUAGCUGGUUAUCCAAGAAAAGGAUUUAAGUCCAACAUUAAACGCCUAAAAACCAUUAUAAGUCCAACUGAAAUUUAAUGUUCAAUCAAAUAAGGUACAGCUUAUUUGAUCCAGGAAACAACCUAUAAAAAAGGAUAAUGCCCCUCCCAUCUGCUUAUCAGUAGGCUUAAAAGCAGCCACCUACAACAAAAGCGUCACAGCUUAAACUCAGAAAAUAAAAAUUUCAAAUUUACCCCAGAAUCCUAUACUACCAUUGAAUAACUCUAUAUCUCUAUAGAAAAUAUUAUGCUAGAACUAGUAACAAGAAUAAGAUAUUCUCUUUAAUGUAAACCCAAAUCAGACUAGACAAACCACUGAUAUCUAACGCUCAUGAACUCAAAGUAGCAACGACUCAAGAAAAAACUACUAAAUAUGACGUUAACCUAACACAAGAACAUUUAAAGAAAGAUUAAAAGACAUGGAAGGAACUCGGCAAACCUUAACUUCGCCUGUUUACCAAAAACAUCGCCUCUUGACAAAAAUAAGAGGUCCAGCCUGCCCAGUGAUAAUAUUCAACGGCCGCGGUAUCCUGACCGUGCGAAGGUAGCGUAAUCACUUGUUCUGUAAAUUAGGACUCGUAUGAAUGGCACCACGAAAGUUAUGCUGUCUCCCAUAUUCAAUCAGUGAAACUAAUCUCCCCGUGAAGAAGCGGGGAUAAACUUAUAAGACGAGAAGACCCCAUGGAGCUUAAAACACAAGGCACCCCCAAUAUAUCCCCAAAAUUAAAAAUUUGCCCUAAGUUUUCGGUUGGGGCGACCACGGAGAACAACUAACCCUCCACGCUGAAUGGAACUAUUCCUAAACCAAAAGCUACCCCUUUACGUAUCAACAACCUGACAAUCAUUGACCCAAUUAAUUUGACCAACGGACCAAGUUACCCUGGGGAUAACAGCGCAAUCCAUCUCAAGAGCCCAUAUCGACAGAUGGGUUUACGACCUCGAUGUUGGAUCAGGGUAUCCCAGUGGUGCAGCCGCUACUAAAGGUUCGUUUGUUCAACGAUUAAAACCCU
Molecule: ribosomal RNA, 1497 nt
Filed under: Rheobatrachus silus
Lineage: Eukaryota; Metazoa; Chordata; Amphibia; Anura; Rheobatrachidae
Description: partial 16S ribosomal RNA
Rfam family: Bacterial large subunit ribosomal RNA
Source: RNAcentral